GCCGCCCGUGUGCGCAUGCGCGUGCCGGGGCCGGACCUCGGGCUCCCUGCUCCGCGCGGCCGGGCUCGGGAUGGGGCGCUGAGCCGGGCGGGUGCAUGGCCGACCCACGGAGGAAGAAGCUGACCAGCGUCGCCAUCUCGCUGCUCUUCCUCUCUGGGGGCAUCGAGUACGCGGUGAUCCUGCCAACCAUCUGGGCCUACCUGCAGACUCUCCAUGCGGAGCCGUACUUCCUGGGCCUGGGGAUCUCUGCCUUCAGCCUCACUGGCCUGCUGUCAGGGCCCCUCUUCGGGCUCUGGUCGGACCGCACCCAGCACACCAAAGCAAUCAUCCUCUUUGCCAACACGUUUGAGAUUGCAGGGAAUUUCAUGUACUUCAUGGGCAUCUCCAAAUGGCUCCUUCUGGGCAGCCGGCUUGUGGCAGGUGUCGGGACAGGAGCGGGUGCCUCCAUCUUUGGGUACCUCACUCGCUCCACCACCUCGCAAGAGCGCGCUACGGUGUUUGCAGUGGUCAUGGCAUGUCGGCAGGUUGGACUCCUGAUUGGACCUGCCUGUAACCUCUUCCUGCGGCUCUGUAACUUCCGUCUGGGGCCCUUUGAGGUCAACAAAUUCACAUCCCCUGGACUCUUCAUGUGCUUGCUGUGGAUCCUGCUCCAGUUCGUCGUCAUGGCCAUGUACUAUGACCUGCCGCCCUCAGCCCACCUGCAGCGGGCGGCCCUUGUGCCACAGGAGGAGGAGGAGGAGCCCUUGGUGCCUCAUGAUGCCGGCCUGGAGGAGGGGGCCGAGAACAGCCGCUACGGCAGCACCGGCUCUGACCUGCGAGCAGCCACCCCCGGCGGUCCUGACCCCCAUGCAGGGGAUGAGUACCGCUACGUGCCCAAUGGACACCUGGCUGAGGAGGAGGCGCAUGACAAGGGGAAGAGCCAGCUCCAGAAUUUAAGCACCAUGAAGGAAUACCUGCGGGAGGAGGUGGUGGUUUUGCUCACAGCCCAGUUCAUCACGCUCUUCAACCAGACGGCCCUGGAGACCAUGGUGACCCCCAUCACCCAGCGCUACCUGAACUUCGGGGAGCUGGAGAACAGCAUCAUGUACUUCCUGUGUGGCAUUGAGGUGAUCUGCGGCUUCUUCCUGGUGCGCUGUCUCAGCAUGCGCCUCCCCGACCGUGUCAUCCUGGUCCUGGGCCUCAUCAUCUGCAACGUGGCCUGUGUCUGGUGCUUGCUGUUUUUGGCUCGGCCCCAAGGGAGCUUUGGUGUCCUGCUGGGAGAGCUGGUGGUCGGGGUUUUUUUGCAGGUCCUGGGGCUCCCCUUUGUGGCCGUCUCCCAGGUCUCGCUCUUCUCCAAGGUGACAGCUGAGAGGACACAGGGCUUCAGUCAGGGGCUGCGGCGCUCGGUUGGGGGAGUGGCCACCAUCCUGGGCCCGCUGUGGGCCGGAGGCCUGACUGACAACCUCUUCAUCAUGCUGGGGGUGAUGAUGGGCCUACUCAGCCUGCUGACGGUGAUGGUUGGGCUCUCGUAUGCCUACCUGGUGGAGUCGCCCAGGGGCUACCUGUCAGAAACGUCCCAGGAGGAGCCAAGCUCGUGACCUCUGACCCCUCCAUGGGCUGCCAGGGGGACAGCAUGGACUGAGGUGAGGUCACUAAGGCAGGUCUCGCUCCGGCUGGCACUGAAGAUCCAUGGGCCCCAUCCUGUUACCCUGGGGCUGCUCCCCUUCUGGGCAGGGGACAGGGGAGUGGGACCAGAGCUCACAUCCUUCUGAAGAGCAUCAGUGCUGUCGAAAUCGGGGAACCCCCUUCCUGCUCGUCUGGACUGGCAUCCCCUGCCCCCAUCCCUCCUGGGUGACACUACUCCCCUUCUUCCCCAUGCCAAUGGGGCCACAGCUGCCUGCUGCCUCUGGACAGAGGGCAGGAUUCCCUGGUGGAGAGGACAGAGAAGCGGUGCUUCUGGCCUCUGUGUGGGCAGCUGCAGGUGCUGAGCCGUGGACCCCGUGGGUGCAGGUCUCUGUCUUUGGUGCUGGAUGCCUCUCCCAGGCUGAGCUGCUCCUGGGGGCUGUAGGUGGCUGGGAACUGCCUGCUCAUGCCAGGGCUGUGGCACCCAUGGUUAGCAAACUGGUGUUUCCUCUGUCUUUCACUCUGGGCAUUUCCCAGUAUUCCCAUCUCUCGCUCCAGGUGGGGGGCUGCUCCCCCCUCACUCCAUGCCGGCAGGGGUGGGUGAGGGAGGGCUGGGCCCCACUCUCCUCGUCUCUGUGUCUGUAACGUGCGUGUGUAUGCGUGUGUGCAGAGAUAAGAAUAAACCCAGGUUUAGUGGCCA
Gavialis gangeticus (Gharial) is the source of this 2302-nucleotide RNA transcript. RefSeq lists it as uncharacterized. The transcript has 13 exons. NCBI's taxonomy places the organism in Eukaryota, Metazoa, Chordata, Crocodylia, Gavialidae. The record is from RefSeq and is a predicted model, not a curated record.